AACCUGGUUGAUCCUGCCAGUAGUCAUAUGCUUGUCUUAAAGAUUAAGCCAUGCAUGUCUAAGUAUAAGCAUUUAUACCGCGAGACUGCGAACGGCUCAUUAAAACAGUUAUGGUUUAUUUGAUGGUUUCUGCUACUUGGAUAACCGUAGUAAUUCUAGAGCUAAUACAUGCACGAAGGGACGACUUUGAAGUCCUGUGUUUAUUAGAUUAAAGCCGACCACCUUCGGGUGCUUUGGUGAAUCAUAGUAACCUAUCGGAUCGAUGGCUUUAUGCCACGACGUGUCAUUCAAAUUUCUGCCCUAUCAGCUUUAGAUGGUAGGAUAUGGGCCUACCAUGGCGGUGACGGGUAACGGAGAAUUAGGGUUCGAUUCCGGAGAGGGAGCCUGAGAAACGGCUACCACUUCUAAGGAAGGCAGCAGGCGCGCAAAUUACCCAAUCCUGACUCAGGGAGGUAGUGACAAGAAAUAACAAUAGUUCGGCCCUAGUGCCAAACUAAUUGGAAUGAGUACAAUUUAAACAUCUUAACGAGGAACAAUUGGAGGGCAAGUCUGGUGCCAGCAGCCGCGGUAAUUCCAGCUCCAAUAGC
This 587-nucleotide ribosomal RNA is filed under the name uncultured marine eukaryote. RNAcentral describes it as "bacterial SSU rRNA". It matches the Rfam family "Eukaryotic small subunit ribosomal RNA", at positions 1 to 598 of the family's 1831-position model. The record is from RNAcentral.